GAUGAACGCUGGCGGCGUGGAUAAGGCAUGCAAGUCAAACGGACACUUUCGCAAGAUUGUGUUAGUGGCAGACGAGGUAGUAACACGUAGGAACCUCCUCCCGAGACGGGAAUAACGAGCCGAAAGGUUCGCUAAUACUCGAUAGUAUCUUCGGAUUAAAGAAGCAAUUCGCUUGGGAAAGGGCCUGCGGAGUAUCAGCUAGUUGGUAGUGUAAUGGACUACCAAGGCUAUGACGCUUAGGGGAGCUGAGAGGCUGACCCCCACCGAUGGGACUGAGACACGGCCCAUACACCUACGGGUGGCUGCAGUCGAGAAUCUUCCGCAAUGGACGAAAGUCUGACGGAGCGACGCCGCGUGAUGGAUGAAGU
Molecule: ribosomal RNA, 368 nt
Filed under: uncultured bacterium
Lineage: Bacteria
Description: bacterial SSU rRNA
Rfam family: Bacterial small subunit ribosomal RNA
Source: RNAcentral